Molecule: long non-coding RNA, 234 nt
Organism: Cebus imitator (Panamanian white-faced capuchin)
Lineage: Eukaryota; Metazoa; Chordata; Mammalia; Primates; Cebidae
Exons: 3
Source: RefSeq, a predicted model, not a curated record
UGUUUUGGCCACUUUCUCCCAUUUGGAAUGGCUUUAUUUACCCAAUGCCUGCACCUCCAUUGCAUCUAGAAAGUAACUGGCUUGCUUUUGAUUUUACAGGCUCAUAGGUGGAAGGGACUUGCCUUGUCUCAGAUAAGACUUUGGACUGUGGACUUUUGGGUUAAUGCUGAAAUGAGUUAACACUUUGACGGGCUGUUGGGAAUGCAUGAUUGGUUUUGAAACUUGAGCACAUGA